UACGUAGGGUGCGAGCGUUAAUCGGAAUUACUGGGCGUAAAGUGUGCGCAGGCGGCAGAGCAAGUCGAGUGUGAAAGCCCCGGGCUUAACUUGGGAAUUGCGCUCGAAACUACUUCGCUGGAGUGUGGCAGAGGAAGGUGGAAUUCCACGUGUAGCGGUGAAAUGCGUAGAGAUGUGGAGGAACACCAAUGGCGAAGGCAGCCUUCUGGGCCAACACUGACGCUCAUGCACGAAAGCGUGGGGAGCAAACAGG
RNAcentral lists this ribosomal RNA (253 nucleotides) under uncultured bacterium. RNAcentral describes it as "partial 16S ribosomal RNA". It matches the Rfam family "Bacterial small subunit ribosomal RNA", at positions 524 to 776 of the family's 1533-position model. The record is from RNAcentral.